CUUCCCUGCAGACGGAAGUAUCAGUGCGGCGUCAAAUUAUUGUAGAGGGUUGAAGUCUUCGUCACCCUGGUGUUUCACUGUAGAUCAUAUAGCUGACCAGGAUAAAUGCGAUAUCGAACAAUGUGAAGAUAAGACGUGCAUAGUGACUGAAUUUGAGUGUCCAGAUGGCCGUUGUAUCCCACAUCACUGGCUCUGUGACAAGACACCUGACUGUUACGAUGGUUCAGACGAGAAAAACUGCACAGCUUGUUCAGCAGAAAAGACGAAAUGCCAGAACACUGGAAGAUUGCGGAAGUUUGUGACGGACACUGGUCGGUGUUGUGACUGUCCUCCCGGUCUGACAGGACAUCUUUGUCAGUAUUGUGACCCAUCAAAAGUUGUAUGCUACAACGGUGGAACAUUGAUAACAAGACUACAAGAUGGCAACUGUCAUUGCAACUGUGCCCCUCGACAUACUGGUGUCCGUUGUCUUCACAAAGUUGGUAAAUGCUGUGGACCACACAUGA
Molecule: long non-coding RNA, 506 nt
Organism: Gigantopelta aegis
Lineage: Eukaryota; Metazoa; Mollusca; Gastropoda; Neomphalida; Peltospiridae
Exons: 4
Source: RefSeq, a predicted model, not a curated record